AGCAAGCACACAGAGCAGUUAGUCCAGUGCCAAGUGUAAAUAUGGUGACAUACUGUAUGUAAAAGUCAUUCAGAAUGGGAGUUUGUGUACAUAAAACAACACAAAGAUAAACAGUCAUUGCAAAUUACGACUUGUAAGCCACUCCUGUGUCCUGUCAGUGUCUCCACAUCAACAUCGUGUACAUAAGAGAUAGAUUCACGGAUAGAAACAGAAAGAAAAAGGCAAUCACCCACUACUAUCAAGCACUACUGUAUCUGUUGAUGUCAUUUCAGUCACAUUUCUGCUGCAGAUCUCAUUGGAAUAUUUCAGCACAGUAAUAUCUACAUUUCAGUAGUUGUUGGACAAUUCUCUCACUCCAACAGCUGCCUCAGGCUCUUUAUGCAGGUCUCUGUCACUAUCAUCCUCUGCUGCACCGACAAUGUAACAUCACUUACUGUAGUCUGUAACAUUCUCUUGUCUAAUAUCUCCAUGACUGUCACAUCCCCAUGACCACCUAUCACAUUAGUCAUGGACCGUUUUUGCUUUAGAAAGAUGUUUUUUUAGCGUCUAACUUUAUAUCAAACCAUUGCCUCUUUGUUUCUGUCACAGUGUCACUCAGACAUGUCAUUGGCAGCUGUACUAUUAAUAUUUCCUAAUUGUUUCGGGUCACUAAUACCACUACUGACACUAAAUGUUUUUGUCUGGUGAUUUCUGAAAGCAGGAUCUGAAAGCAAGUCUUUUUUUUACUCCUUGGUAACAUUUCUGUGAAUGAAACCUGGCCACAAACGCAGCAGAACAGGCAGCCUUAUAUGGCAAUUUUGGGGUGUAGAUUAUGCUAAUGAUCAAAUCUCAUGAACGUGCACCUCCUCAUGAACAAGUGGCAUUCAUCAGGCAGAAAAAAGUAAGAGAGAGUUAGGAUAAGAAUACGAAAAUGUUCUUGCUUGAGGCCCAUUUUCUAGACACCACCUUAACUCUCACUUUUAGUGUCUAGAACCAUUUAGAAGUCAUGAGGAAAGUAACUUAUUUGCGGACCUAAGUGAAAAUGAACUGUUAUUACAACCUUUCGUCAGAUCAGUAUCAGACCUCACAUCAACAAACAUUCUUCUUCUUCUGCCAUAACAACUGAGCUGGCCGCCGAGUGGAUGUUCGUGGGUGGAGGUUUGUUGGGUGGCCUGAUAUAUCCCCCGUCCCGACGACAGACACAUGAAGGGGAUACACGAUUGCUUUGGUUGAGGCCUGUGAAGCCUGGCUGUUUCCUGGUAAAUAAACUACGAUGGAGGGCUGCAGGACUGUUUGGAGCUCCACUGUGUGCAGCUGAGAGGGAUAUUACCUCCCUGGGGAAAAAAGGAAAACUUCAACCAACUGAAGCACAAUGAUGGACCCGUUACAUUGCAGAAAGCUAGCGAGUCUUUCAUCUCCUUUACAGGAUGGGAACUAUAAAUGUGGAGCACGUUCAACAUUUCAACAUCCACAGAGAGGGCAAACCAUUAAAACAAAAGCUGUCCUUUCAUGUUCCACAAAAAAAAGGAGCCACAUAUAUGAUCACCUGUCCUUGCAGUAAAGUAUACAUUGGAAAAACUUCACGUGAACUCAAAAAGAGAAUGGCAGAGCAGCGGAGCACCAUUUGCUGUAAAAUGUAACAUAUCCUGUUUCCACUUAUCUUGUAGAGGAAAAUCAUCCAACAUCAUCUUUAAGAUAUAAAGGAAAUGAGAAGAUUAAAGAGAGGAGAAGCUCAUGGACAAUCUGUUGCUGAAAAGGGAGGUCUACUGUUUUUUAAGUUUGAAACUUAUAAUCUAAAACAUAUACAUGUAAAUAAAUUGUAAAUUGGUAUGAUGUUUUGAAUAACUAAAAGGAGGAACUGGGUAAUUAGCCUGAGCAUAAAACAAAAAAGCACCCUCAAAUGUAAAAAUAAAAAGUCACAGUACUAUAAUCCAGCCGUGACGUCUUGUGUCCUUUAAGUUCACCAGAAUGCAAAGUAAAAAUAAAAAGCAAGAAUCCCUAUGAUCACCACUUUGAAGGUAUUGGAUGUCAAAAUAAUGGCUGACUUGCAUCGAGAUACCUUUGUAAAGAAGCAAACAUGGAUCUUUUUUCUGUAUGAUGCGAGAAAGAUUAAGACAGUGUCUUGAAACGUCUGUCAGCUCUGUGGUUAUACAUGUGUAUUGUGUGUGCAUGUGAAAGCAGAGACCCUUGUGCAAUUCGAGGGGGAUAUCAGAGUCGGUCGGCCAGAUGGCUUUAAUGUUGCCACCAGCCUAUGAAAGCGGUGCAACGUAGAGAUCUGGAGCAAAAAACAAACAUAUAGGAGCCGAGAGCUCAGCGCAGGCCACCGCCGACACACUGCGUGGCACUGACUGCUACGAGCUAGAUGAGAAACAUAUUGUA
Molecule: long non-coding RNA, 2358 nt
Organism: Siniperca chuatsi (mandarin fish)
Lineage: Eukaryota; Metazoa; Chordata; Actinopteri; Centrarchiformes; Sinipercidae
Exons: 3
Source: RefSeq, a predicted model, not a curated record